Small nucleolar RNA from Cottoperca gobio, 160 nucleotides. Ensembl annotates it as small nucleolar RNA, C/D box 97. Its record names the gene SNORD97. Lineage: Eukaryota; Metazoa; Chordata; Actinopteri; Perciformes; Bovichtidae. The record is from Ensembl.
AUGCCCAGUGAUUAUAAAGAGACGCGUUAUUCUGAGGAACCCAACCUGCUACCAGUCUUCUACCUUUCCAUCUUCAUCUUUCUUAUCCUCCCUCCACUCCUCCUCUUUUAUUCAAACUGGUAGCUCGUCCGCUGACUGCGACGAUGAGAUAUGAAGGCAU